CGGGACAAGGUGAGUGGGGAGGUUGGCUUGGGGGCAGGACCUGGGGACCUGAUGUUGUUUGGGACCACAGCCUCCCACAAUCCUCCACAUACCCGCCUCCUGCCCCACACC
Molecule: microRNA precursor, 111 nt
Filed under: Nannospalax galili (Upper Galilee mountains blind mole rat)
Lineage: Eukaryota; Metazoa; Chordata; Mammalia; Rodentia; Spalacidae
Description: miRNA (ENSNGAG00000010068.1)
Source: RNAcentral